Molecule: ribosomal RNA, 439 nt
Filed under: uncultured bacterium
Lineage: Bacteria
Description: partial 16S ribosomal RNA
Rfam family: Bacterial small subunit ribosomal RNA
Source: RNAcentral
CUACGGGGGGCUCCAGUGAGGAAUAUUGCACAAUGGAGGAAACUCUGAUGCAGCAACGCCGCGUGGAGGAUGACGCAUUUCGGUGUGUAAACUCCUUUUAUAUGUCAAGAAAAUGACGGUAGCAUAUGAAUAAGCACCGGCUAACUCCGUGCCAGCAGCCGCGGUAAUACGGAGGGUGCAAGCGUUACUCGGAAUCACUGGGCGUAAAGGACGCGUAGGCGGGAUAUCAAGUCAGGUGUGAAAUCCUACAGCUUAACUGUAGAACUGCACUUGAAACUGGUAACCUAGAGUAUGGGAGGGGGAGAUGGAAUUAGGGGUGUAGGGGUAAAAUCCGUAGAUAUCACUAGGAAUACCUAAAGCGAAGGCGAUCUCCUGGAACAUAACUGACGCUAAGGCGUGAAAGCGUGGGGAACAAACAGGAUUAGAUACCCCGGUAGUC